GUCAAAGGAAAGGAUAUCUUAGUUUUCUUCUGAAUUUAUAGCUACAAUUCCAGUUUCCCAUCCCAUCUUGGUAGAAUCUACACCCUGUAUAUAACUUCUUUGAUGAUUUGUUUUUUGUCUAGAUUAAACUAAAUUUGUACGUAUUUGUCUUUAGUUUUUGAUAAGUUCAUUGGAAUUUGUUUGUUUAUCAUUAUAUAUUGAUUGGAUGUUGUUAUGGACAAACACAAUAAUGGUGAUGCUCCAAUGUCUAAAAAUAUGGGUUCCAUUCACAAGGUCUAAGUUGCAGAAGUGCUUCUUUUAUCGCUACCGAGUGAUUGUGCUACUAACUCCUUGUACUAAACUGUUUUAUUGCUGGCUACCUUUUGAACUCUUUAUCUCAAACUAUGUACUUUCCUGAUUGAUAUACUCACUUUUUGAGGAUGUUCCAAGAGCUGGAGUAAAAGAAAAUUUAUUUAAGUGAAGCACAUUGAAUCUGAGGGUAAUGUCGAUUCCCUCAUUAGCUUUGUACAGGCUGGAAACUUGAAGGGGAAAAUAACCAGGUCAACCGCAUUCUUCAAGAUGUUCAAUUUAAAGACCAGAAGCAGUUUAAGCAGUUUGUUUCCCAAAGCAAGGCUAGAAUGGAGGAGUGAUUAAGAGGCAGUGGUGAUGAUAUUGCUGCCGCAAGGAUGGGUGCAAAGUUAAAUGUUGCAGGGUGGAUUUCUAAACAAAUGGGUGGCGUUAGGUUAGCUAUCUGGACUGUUAUCUAUUGAUUUAAAUUGCUUGUUUUCACAAUACAGUCGUGCAACCACCUUAAGUCUCAAGUCUGCAGUUAAAUUCUGUUUUGGUUUUUGUUGUUUUUAGAUUAGUUUAAUUGUUUUGGUUAUUAUGCUAAACCCCA
Camellia sinensis is the source of this 877-nucleotide non-coding RNA. The record is from RefSeq and is a predicted model, not a curated record. Lineage: Eukaryota; Viridiplantae; Streptophyta; Magnoliopsida; Ericales; Theaceae.